RNAcentral lists this ribosomal RNA (495 nucleotides) under uncultured bacterium. RNAcentral's name for it is "partial 16S ribosomal RNA". It matches the Rfam family "Bacterial small subunit ribosomal RNA", at positions 28 to 523 of the family's 1533-position model. The record is from RNAcentral.
GAUGAACGUUGGCGGCGUGCCUAACACAUGCAAGUCGAGCGUGAAAGUCCUUCGGGAUGAGUAAAGCGGCAGACGGGUGAGUAACACGUGAGAAUUUUCCUUUCAGUGAAGAAUACCUUUGGGAAACCAAAGUUAAUACUGCAUGCGUCUCGAAAGAGAGAAAGAUGGCCUCUUUGCUGUCGCUGAAAUAUAAGCUUGCGCUCUAUUAGUUAGUUGGUGAGGUAAAGGCUCACCAAGACGAUGAUGGAUAGCCGGCCUGAGAGGGCGAACGGCCACAUUGGAACUUAGACACGGUCCAGACUCCUACGGGAGGCAGCAGUGGGGAAUAUUGGACAAUGGGCGCAAGCCUGAUCCAGCCAUACCGCGUGGGUGAAGAAGGCCUUCGGGUUGUAAAGCCCUUUUGUUGGGAAAGAAAUCCAGCUGGCUAAUACCCGGUUGGGAUGACGGUACCCAAAGAAUAAGCACCGGCUAACUUCGUGCCAGCCGCCGCCGUAA